CGCCUUUCGCGCCCUUUCUGUGAGCCCGGGCGGGCGAGCGGCGGCUGCGGCUGGCGGCGGCCCCAGAUGCUUCAUCUGCAAUGCAGGCCACAAUGGAGGGGUGAUCGUCCCGGGAGGGUGAGGAGGGGGCGCAAGCCCGCGACGGAGGGGCUUCGGUACAGCCCGGGCGGCAUGCACACGCCUGCCCGCGCGCCAAUCCGCGGAGGCCGCCGCUGCAGCCCCGCGUGGGGUGACUGCGCAGAGCCAAUGGCCUCGCUGACGGCGAGCGCGCGACUGCACCGCGGCUUCCCCCGCCCUGCUCAUCAAGCGCGGCCUCCGCCCUGCAGCGGCUGCUGCGGCAGGAGACUGCCGGCUGGAGGGACGAGGACAGCAUCCGGGAAAGUCUUGGGCUACCGGGCACCGGACGCCCCGCCCCAAAACUGUUUUUUUUUUUUUUGUGACUGCUGGCUACCAAGAAGAAGAGAUGGAGGCCAGCGCCUGUGGGGCAAAAGGGCCCGGUCUAGCGCCCUGGCCGCCCUCCUGGCUAGCACUCCAAGACUCUCUCCUUUGUGUAGUUGUGGCGCUUGCAGAUCUAAGGAGGAAAAGCUGUUGUAGUUCAUUUCCUGAAGCCCGAAGCAACGAAAUGGGUUAUGAAGGAGCAAUAACAAGAGAUAGGAGAGGUUAUAUCCCACAGAAAGAGGAAACUGAGUCAUGGAGAAACAGAACCUCUAGUCACUAAGGGUGUACCAGGCCUCCCCUAAUGAUCCUAGUGGUAAAAUAGACCUGAAAGCCUUUGACUGUCAAACCAGGCUAAAGAUCUAACAGUGCGGUAGACAGAAGGAAGGUUCUCUAGGCAGAUGACAGAACUUCUGCUAAGGCAUGGCUUUGACCUUCUCACCUUGAGAUCAGAGAAUGCGUGUAGUCACUGCUUAAUCUAGGUCAUCGGGUGCCCUUUCGGUAAGGAAGUCAUCUGUCUAACUGAUUCACACCUGCUGAGCAAGAAUUAGCCAGAUAAAGACAGAAUCGUUCUGAGGCUCUAUAUUUCCCAGUUUGUUGUUUGUUUGUUUGUUUGUUUGUUGUCUGCACCUGGCCACACGAUAGGGGUCUUCUGCCUUUCUAUUCUCAAAGGAGGUGUAAAAUUCACCCUUUCAACCCCUGCCUUAAAAAUCUACAGUCCCUGAGGGAGGGUUAUGAGGCAGUCUUCACUUUUAAGUUCUGAUUUAAGCUGUGCAUCUUGAAAACAGAAGCCAGUCCCUAUGUCCUGUUCCAACUGGAUAAUGUGCACUAGCUGGGCUAGCUGGUACCUAAAUACUGGUGUCAGCCAUUAGGUAGGCGCUGUAGUCCCAGCACUCGGGAUGCAGAGAAAGAAGGAUCAAGAUCCACCUAGACAGUAUCAUAGAUAGGUAGGUAGGUAGGUUGGUAGGUAGAUAGAUGAUGGAAGGAUGGAUGAAUGGAUACAUACAUACAUACAUACAUACAUACAUACAUACAGAGAUUGGAUCAAGAUCCACCUAGACAGUAUCAUAGGUAGGUUGGUAGGUAGAUAGAUGAUGGAAGGAUGGAUGAAUGCAUGGAUACAUACAUACAUACAUACAUACAUACAUACAUACAUGCAUAGAUUGGAUCAAGAUCCACCUAGACAGUAUUAUAGGUAGGUAGGUAGGUAGGUAGGUAGAUAGAUAGAUAGAUAGAUAGAUAGAUAGAUAGAUAGAUAGAUAGAUAGAUGGAUAGAAGAUAGAAAGAUAGGUGGAUCGAUGAAAAUAAAGCAAAACUUUCCAGGAAAGCCCACUGUAAGGUUCAGCUAGCAGUCAGCAGGAGGAGGGCCCUAUUAAAUCACAGGGGAAAUAACUACUUGUUAGGCAAGGUUAAUGAGAUUCACAUUAAUUUAAACAAAAUAGCCUCUAGUUACAUUGUUUGUUUUUGUUGCACUUUCCUGCACUUGAUCUUAAUGGAUUUAGAUUCAUCUUGUUAUUUACCAAUUUGCUGUGAAAUAUUUUGUUUGGUUCUAUCUAUCCAUCUCAUUAGUGUCAAGCUCCUCCCUAUAGCCAGACACGCAAGGUUCUUAACCCAUGAUAAUUGACAUUUCUGCCCAUAAAUGUCCAGAGACAGAAGGUUAAAACUGAUUUAUCUGCUCUGGCUGGAGCUUAAGAGAGUAUUUGGCACAUAGAAGGCCCAGG
Mus musculus (house mouse) is the source of this 2156-nucleotide long non-coding RNA. RefSeq annotates it as predicted gene 5464. The record is from RefSeq and is marked validated. NCBI's taxonomy places the organism in Eukaryota, Metazoa, Chordata, Mammalia, Rodentia, Muridae. The transcript has a single exon.